GACGAACGCUGGCGGCGUGCUUAACACAUGCAAGUCGAGCGGUAAGGCCCUUUCGGGGUACGACGAGCGGCGAACGGGUGAGUAACACGUGGGUGACCUGCCCUUACGCUCUGGGAGUAAGCCUGGGAAACGUGGGUCUAAUACCGGAUAUGACUCCAUGACGCAUGUUGUGGGGUGGAAAGCCUUGUGCGGCUAGGGAUGGCCCGCGGCCUAUCAGCUUGUUGGUGGGGUGAUGGCCACCAAGGCGACGACGGGUAGCCGGCCUGAGAGGGCGACCGGCCACACU
RNAcentral lists this ribosomal RNA (286 nucleotides) under uncultured bacterium. RNAcentral describes it as "partial 16S ribosomal RNA". It matches the Rfam family "Bacterial small subunit ribosomal RNA", at positions 28 to 314 of the family's 1533-position model. The record is from RNAcentral.